GGGGUGCUCGAGUGGCGAACGGGUGAGUAACACGUGAGUAACCUGCCCUUGACUUUGGGAUAACUUCAGGAAACUGGGGCUAAUACCGGAUAGGAGCUCCUGCUGCAUGGUGGGGGUUGGAAAGUUUCGGCGGUUGGGGAUGGACUCGCGGCUUAUCAGCUUGUUGGUGGGGUAGUGGCUUACCAAGGCUUUGACGGGUAGCCGGCUUGAGAGGGUGACCGGCCACAUUGGGACUGAGAUACGGCCCAG
This 249-nucleotide ribosomal RNA is filed under the name uncultured Actinomycetales bacterium. RNAcentral describes it as "partial 16S ribosomal RNA". It matches the Rfam family "Bacterial small subunit ribosomal RNA", at positions 84 to 334 of the family's 1533-position model. The record is from RNAcentral. Lineage: Bacteria; Bacillati; Actinomycetota; Actinomycetes; Actinomycetales.